CCUACGGGGGGCAGCAGUGAGGAAUAUUGGUCAAUGGGCUUACGCCUGAACCAGCCAAGUCGCGUGAGGGAAGACUGCCCUAUGGGUUGUAAACCUCUUUUGUCAGGGAGCAACGCCGGCUACGUGUAGCCGGACUGAGAGUACCUGAAGAAAAAGCAUCGGCUAACUCCGUGCCAGCAGCCGCGGUACUACGGAGGAUGCGAGCGUUAUCGGGCUUUAUUGGGUUUAAAGGGUGGGUAGGCGGAAUGCCAAGUCAGCGGGAAAAUCGCGGGGCUCAACCUCGCUCCGCCGUUGAAACUGGCGUUCUUGAGUGGGCGAGAAGUAUGCGGAAUGCGUGGUGUAGCGGUGAAAUGCAUAGAUAUCACGCAGAACUCCGGUUGCGAAGGCGGCAUACCGGCGCCCAACUGACGCUGAAGCACGAAAGCGUGGGUAUCGAACAGGAUUAGAUACCCGGGUAGUC
This 460-nucleotide ribosomal RNA is filed under the name uncultured bacterium. RNAcentral's name for it is "partial 16S ribosomal RNA". It matches the Rfam family "Bacterial small subunit ribosomal RNA", at positions 338 to 795 of the family's 1533-position model. The record is from RNAcentral.